Molecule: ribosomal RNA, 253 nt
Filed under: uncultured bacterium
Lineage: Bacteria
Description: partial 16S ribosomal RNA
Rfam family: Bacterial small subunit ribosomal RNA
Source: RNAcentral
UACAGAGGGUGCAAGCGUUAAUCGGAAUUACUGGGCGUAAAGCGUGCGUAGACGGUUACAUAAGUCGGGUGUGAAAGCCCCGGGCUCAACCUGGGAAUUGCAUUCGAGACUGCGUAGCUAGGGUGCGGAAGAGGGAAGCGGAAUUUCCGGUGUAGCGGUGAAAUGCGUAGAUAUCGGAAGGAACACCAGUGGCGAAAGCGGCUUCCUGGUCCAGCACCGACGUUCAGGCACGAAAGCGUGGGGAGCAAAUAGG